Molecule: ribosomal RNA, 497 nt
Filed under: uncultured bacterium
Lineage: Bacteria
Description: partial 16S ribosomal RNA
Rfam family: Bacterial small subunit ribosomal RNA
Source: RNAcentral
GAUGAACGCUGGCGGCGUGCCUAAUACAUGCCAGUCGAGCGAACAGACGAGGAGCUUGCUCCUCUGACGUUAGCGGCGGACGGGUGAGUAACACGUGGAUAACCUACCUAUAAGACUGGGAUAACUUCGGGAAACCGGAGCUAAUACCGGAUAACAUGUUGAACCGCAUGGUUCAACAGUGAAAGACGGUCUUGCUGUCACUUAUAGAUGGAUCCGCGCCGCAUUAGCUAGUUGGUAAGGUAACGGCUUACCAAGGCAACGAUGCGUAGCCGACCUGAGAGGGUGGUCGGCCACACGGGAACUGAGACACGGUCCAGACUCCUACGGUAGGCAGCGGUAGGGAAUCUUCCGCAAGGGGCGAGAGCCUGACGGAGCAACGCCGCGGGAGUGAAGAAGGUCUUCGGAUCGUAAAACGCUGUUAUUAGGGAAGAACAAAUGUGUAAGUAACUAUGCACGUCUUGACGGUACCUAAUCAGAAAGCCACGGCUAACUACGUG